AGGUUAAUGAGGCGAACCGGGGGAACUGAAACAUCUAAGUACCCCGAGGAAAAGAAAUCAACCGAGAUUCCCCCAGUAGCGGCGAGCGAACGGGGAGCAGCCCAGAGCCUGAAUCAGUAUGUGUGUUAGUGGAAGCGUCUGGAAAGGCGCGCGAUACAGGGUGACAGCCCCGUACACAAAAAUGCACAUGCUGUGAGCUCGAUGAGUAGGGCGGGACACGUGGUAUCCUGUCUGAAUAUGGGGGGACCAUCCUCCAAGGCUAAAUACUCCUGACUGACCGAUAGUGAACCAGUACCGUGAGGGAAAGGCGAAAAGAACCCCGGCGAGGGGAGUGAAAAAGAACCUGAAACCGUGUACGUACAAGCAGUGGGAGCACGCUUAGGCGUGUGACUGCGUACCUUUUGUAUAAUGGGUCAGCGACUUAUAUUCUGUAGCAAGGUUAACCGAAUAGGGGAGCCGAAGGGAAACCGAGUCUUAACUGGGCGUUAAGUUGCAGGGUAUAGACCCGAAACCCGGUGAUCUAGCCAUGGGCAGGUUGAAGGUUGGGUAACACUAACUGGAGGACCGAACCGACUAAUGUUGAAAAAUUAGCGGAUGACUUGUGGCUGGGGGUGAAAGGCCAAUCAAACCGGGAGAUAGCUGGUUCUCCCCGAAAGCUAUUUAGGUAGCGCCUCGUGAAUUCAUCUCCGGGGGUAGAGCACUGUUUCGGCAAGGGGGUCAUCCCGACUUACCAACCCGAUGCAAACUGCGAAUACCGGAGAAUGUUAUCACGGGAGACACACGGCGGGUGCUAACGUCCGUCGUGAAGAGGGAAACAACCCAGACCGCCAGCUAAGGUCCCAAAGUCAUGGUUAAGUGGGAAACGAUGUGGGAAGGCCCAGACAGCCAGGAUGUUGGCUUAGAAGCAGCCAUCAUUUAAAGAAAGCGUAAUAGCUCACUGGUCGAGUCGGCCUGCGCGGAAGAUGUAACGGGGCUAAACCAUGCAC
Molecule: ribosomal RNA, 986 nt
Filed under: Escherichia coli
Lineage: Bacteria; Pseudomonadati; Pseudomonadota; Gammaproteobacteria; Enterobacterales; Enterobacteriaceae
Description: partial 23S ribosomal RNA
Rfam family: Bacterial large subunit ribosomal RNA
Source: RNAcentral